UUCAGAGUUGAGGCAAAUCCAAUUCCACGAAUUUUUUAAUCUGAGCUCACACUUUCUUCAUGACAAGCCUCUCCCAAAUUCUCCCAAUCUCGACCAUCCAUUUCACACAAUCAAAGGCUCAGAUUCUUCCUACAGGUUCACGUGGAUUCUCCUCACAAUUCCUGAUCCAAGCCAUAAAUCGUGACUCACAAUUUCCUCCAAUUCUCCCUCCAAUUUGUCACACCAUUUUCACCAAACUUCAUCCUAUAUAUACAGGUUCAGAUUACACAGAGUGGAGGAGGGGAAAUAAUUAGCGUUAUGCUACCAAAUUGAAAUCAGAAGACUCUCCUCCAAAGUUUGUUACCUCAUCGUUUUUCAACAAACAGUUUCGAAUAUCACCAUAACCAAACCUUCGCAAGCCUCACCACUGAUCCAAAACCUUCAUACAAUCUUCAUCAUCAAUAAUCCAUCAAAGAUCCAACGGCAUAGCAUUCGCAUCCUUCCUCCGUUUCAACAUAACAACCAACCUUCAUUAUCCCCAAUUCCAGAUUCAACUACUUCAUACAUCAUCAUCAACUUGCAUCAAAGGUCAGGUAAUAACCUCAUAUCCAUCAUCAUUACUUCAACAUCCGCAUCAUCAUCAGUAGCGACUGAACAACAUGCAGAGUUGCAACAAUCUCCCGUUGACUCAAUAUUAACAGCAACAAUCAGAGACGAAGGAAGAGCAAAGUUAAACGUACCUGAGCAGAUUCGUUCGGAUAUCUCGAAGAAGUUUUAUUAUCUCAUCUCUGGUUUUCUAAAUUUCAUUUCAUCAAGCUAAAUCCAGUUAACUGUUGAUCGUCAAGUUGUUUCCUCAACACCGCUACAGAACUAGAGCUGCCGUCAGACAAAGAAUGGCAAACCAAGAGAAGCACAAUUUAGAAGUUAGAAUGGAGUUUUAUGGUUCAAAAUCAGAGAAUGACAAGUGAAGCUUCAAUCAAAGUCAGAUUAUCCCCUAAAGCCAAGUGUUUCAGACAGAACAGCUCAUCCUCAUUGCUGAUUAGUCACUAGGCCUUGUGUUCUUUACUGUUUGCAUUUCUUUCAAUUGUAAUGUGUGUUUAAUUUCAAACUUGUUUGUUUCUUACUGUUAAUUUUAAAUGAAAUGAGCAUUGCAUGUUUUGAUUCAA
Molecule: long non-coding RNA, 1145 nt
Organism: Vicia villosa (hairy vetch)
Lineage: Eukaryota; Viridiplantae; Streptophyta; Magnoliopsida; Fabales; Fabaceae
Exons: 2
Source: RefSeq, a predicted model, not a curated record